GCCUUCGUGGUAUAAUGGUAGCACACUCGGCGCGUAUUCGAGAGGUCCAGGUUCGAAUCCCGGCGAGGGCA
Molecule: transfer RNA, 71 nt
Filed under: Stegodyphus mimosarum
Lineage: Eukaryota; Metazoa; Arthropoda; Arachnida; Araneae; Eresidae
Rfam family: tRNA
About the family: Transfer RNA (tRNA) molecules are approximately 80 nucleotides in length. Their secondary structure includes four short double-helical elements and three loops (D, anti-codon, and T loops).
Source: Rfam by way of RNAcentral